Apis mellifera (honey bee) is the source of this 778-nucleotide long non-coding RNA. RefSeq lists it as uncharacterized. NCBI's taxonomy places the organism in Eukaryota, Metazoa, Arthropoda, Insecta, Hymenoptera, Apidae. The transcript is spliced from 3 exons. The record is from RefSeq and is a predicted model, not a curated record.
AUAUAGAUUAUUGGCUAUCGGUAGCUCGUGAGGACUUUGUAACCACAGUCAUAAAUAUUUCUCUUGCUUGCCACGCCAUUGAUUGGCCACGCUCAUACCGCGCAUCCGUUAACCGAUAACUCACAUUAUGUCAUGUCGCGGCCAGUAAUCGACGAACAAACAGCGAUCGUUACCUUUCGACAACGUCGGACCUGUUACGAAUGGUUGUGAUCACUCGACGAAAAGAAUGGCGAUCGUCCGCUAUCGUAAUCUGAAUUAAAAUUCUUGCUGUGAAUAAAUAAAUACAUGAAGCAUGAUGGAAUAAUGAAGUUUUUUUACAAGGUAAGAACGCAUCACUACAAUCGCUCAAUAUCUUCUUGCUCAUACAUAGAUUAAAAUGAAGAGAAAAGUCAGCUCUUUCCUUGGAAGUCGCUUCUUCUACAAAAUCAUCCAGAGCUCUAAAGAGCUUCGUAAGCCCGACAGAAUAGCGAUGAUGGGAUGGGUCUUGCAACGGGCGUAAAAUGGAAGAAGGUGGGAGGAAGAGUAAGGUUGCAGCAGCGAACUCCAUAAUUAGUUAGAAACCCGAAGCCGACGAAGCUCUAGGAUUUAAUAUCUUAACACCCUCUUUAACGCAGACCAAAAUUUUGCGCCGUGUCUUUAUUGGCGAAACAUGCCAACUUGACUAGACUUGAAUUGUUCGUCGAAACUUUCUUCUUUACGCAUUUUAUCCUUUUUAUUUCAUCAAUGUGAAUUUGUUUUUAACUGGUAUCUCUUUCAUUUCGCGUUAAAGCCUUUAAAA